GUAAAUAAAGAUCUACGAAAUCAUCAGUUUAUCGGGUGGUCAAUCCCCAAUUCAAUCAAAAUAUUAUUUUCUCUCUCUCCAUAAACAGGAUAGUAUUUUUGAUAUGAUGACUCGGUAUGCGACAUGAUCAUUUCAGUUGUCUUUGUUUGGAUAUCACAUUAGCUGAUUGUAAGAUCAGUAUCAAGACCCGGCUUGCCGGGUUUUUU
RNAcentral lists this small RNA (206 nucleotides) under Streptococcus canis. RNAcentral's name for it is "FasX". It matches the Rfam family "FasX small RNA". The record is from RNAcentral. Lineage: Bacteria; Bacillati; Bacillota; Bacilli; Lactobacillales; Streptococcaceae.